Molecule: ribosomal RNA, 253 nt
Filed under: uncultured bacterium
Lineage: Bacteria
Description: partial 16S ribosomal RNA
Rfam family: Bacterial small subunit ribosomal RNA
Source: RNAcentral
UACGGAGGGUGCAAGCGUUAUUCGGAAUUACUGGGCGUAAAGCGCUCGUAGGCGGUUUGUUAAGCUAGCUGUGAAAUCCCCGGGCUCAACCUGGGCACUGCAGUUAGAACUGGCAAGCUAGAGUAGGGUAGAGGGGUGUGGAAUUCCAGGUGUAGCGGUGAAAUGCGUAGAUAUCUGGAGGAACAUCAGUGGCGAAGGCGACACCCUGGACUCAUACUGACACUGAGGUGCGAAAGCGUGGGGAGCAAACAGG